ACGUGCGGAAGGAUCA
This 16-nucleotide ribosomal RNA is filed under the name Cryptococcus neoformans. Its description in RNAcentral is "partial 18S ribosomal RNA". The record is from RNAcentral. Lineage: Eukaryota; Fungi; Basidiomycota; Tremellomycetes; Tremellales; Cryptococcaceae.